GAUGAACGCUAGCGGCAGGCCUAAUACAUGCAAGUCGAGGGGUAGAGGAGAGCUUGCUUUCCUUGAGACCGGCGCACGGGUGCGUAACGCGUAUGCAACCUACCUUUAUCAGGGGGAUAGCCCGAAGAAAUUCGGAUUAACACCGCAUAAAAUCACAGUACAGCAUUGUACAAUGAUCAAAUAUUUAUAGGAUAAAGAUGGGCAUGCGUGUCAUUAGCUAGUUGGCGGGGUAACGGCCCACCAAGGCGACGAUGACUAGGGGAUCUGAGAGGAUGACCCCCCACACUGGUACUGAGACACGGACCAGACUCCUACGGGAGGCAGCAGUAAGGAAUAUUGGUCAAUGGAGGCAACUCUGAACCAGCCAUGCCGCGUGCAGGAAGACUGCCCUAUGGGUUGUAAACUGCUUUUAUCCGGGAAUAAACCUGCUUACGUGUAAGUAGCUGAAUGUACCGGAAGAAUAAGGAUCGGCUAACUCCGUGCCAGCAGCCGCGGUAAUACGGAGGAUCCAAGCGUUAUCCGGAUUUAUUGGGUUUAAAGGGUGCGUAGGCGGCCUGUUAAGUCAGGGGUGAAAGACGGUGGCUCAACCAUCGCAGUGCCCUUGAUACUGACGGGCUUGAAUGGACUAGAGGUAGGCGGAAUGAGACAAGUAGCGGUGAAAUGCAUAGAUAUGUCUCAGAACACCGAUUGCGAAGGCAGCUUACUAUGGUCUUAUUGACGCUGAGGCACGAAAGCGUGGGGAUCAAACAGGAUUAGAUACCCUGGUAGUCCACGCCCUAAACGAUGAACACUCGCUGUUGGCGAUACACAGUCAGCGGCUAAGCGAAAGCGUUAAGUGUUCCACCUGGGGAGUACGCCCGCAAGGGUGAAACUCAAAGGAAUUGACGGGGGCCCGCACAAGCGGAGGAGCAUGUGGUUUAAUUCGAUGAUACGCGAGGAACCUUACCCGGGCUUGAAAGUUAGUGAAUUAUCCAGAGAUGGAUAAGUGAGCAAUCACACGAAACUAGGUGCUGCAUGGCUGUCGUCAGCUCGUGCCGUGAGGUGUUGGGUUAAGUCCCGCAACGAGCGCAACCCCUAUGUUUAGUUGCCAGCAUGUAAUG
Molecule: ribosomal RNA, 1100 nt
Filed under: Pedobacter sp. M519
Lineage: Bacteria; Pseudomonadati; Bacteroidota; Sphingobacteriia; Sphingobacteriales; Sphingobacteriaceae
Description: bacterial SSU rRNA
Rfam family: Bacterial small subunit ribosomal RNA
Source: RNAcentral